Molecule: long non-coding RNA, 261 nt
Filed under: Capsicum annuum
Lineage: Eukaryota; Viridiplantae; Streptophyta; Magnoliopsida; Solanales; Solanaceae
Description: long non-coding RNA (CANN_LNC013663)
Source: RNAcentral
UACACUCCUUUAUCUCAAAUCCUCUCAAGAACCAAACCCUAAGGCCUCAACCUAAGAUUCAAGAUCCCUCAAAAUUUCACCAUUAAAUUCCAAAAUUGAUUCAAGAAUUAGAAUUCCCAAACUAAGAUCUUCAAGAAUCAUCCAUCAAAAGCACAAAUAGAGUCCCAAAAGCAAAUGUUCAUCCAAAGUUCAUAAUCUAAGGUACGUGGGGUUUAUCCUAAAAACUACAUGGACUUGUAAACACUAGAACAUGAUUUAAAG